UACAGAGGUCCCGAGCGUUGUUCGGAUUCACUGGGCGUAAAGGGUGCGUAGGUGGCGAUGAAAGUUCGAUGUGAAAUCUCCGGGCUUAACCCGGAAAAGGCAUUGAAAACUAUGUUGCUUGAGGUUUGGAGGGGGGACUGGAAUUCUCGGUGUAGCAGUGAAAUGCGUAGAUAUCGAGAGGAACACCAGUGGCGAAGGCGGGUCCCUGGACAACACCUGGACACUGAGGCACGAAAGCUAGGGGAGCAAACAGG
RNAcentral lists this ribosomal RNA (254 nucleotides) under uncultured bacterium. RNAcentral's name for it is "partial 16S ribosomal RNA". It matches the Rfam family "Bacterial small subunit ribosomal RNA", at positions 524 to 776 of the family's 1533-position model. The record is from RNAcentral.